GGCUUUGCAGCUUUCCUGUGGUCCUGAACGGCCACAUAGCCCCUCGGAGCCUUGGUGGCUCAUCUGCAGAGUGGGAGCACCUUCCUACAUUAUUACGAGGAUUCCCCGGGAACACGUCCACGCUGAGGAACUGAAGUUGCUAAUCACGUCCUGGAGGUGGGGAGAGAGGGCCCUGUGCAGAUCCUGGGCUGGAGAUAAUUUGGGAGGAGAGCACAGGCUGCCGGCCCCAGCUCUCCAGGCAGUGUGGGACCGCGGGGAGGAGCGGGGAUGUGCGUGAGGCCGUCCCUCCUGCCUCGUUCGCAGGCACAGAGUAGAUGGCCGGUGUCAAGAAGCUGCCGCGCGGUCCCCGGCCGAGGAGAAUCAAACACAUACAGCAGCGUCAGGCUCCGGGAGACCUCGUGAACUCAGUGAUUUCAAGUCCCGUUUCAGACCGUG
Homo sapiens (human) is the source of this 435-nucleotide long non-coding RNA. NCBI's taxonomy places the organism in Eukaryota, Metazoa, Chordata, Mammalia, Primates, Hominidae. The record is from Ensembl.